GCUGGGCGUGGUGGCGCGCGCCUAUAGUCCCAGCUACUCAAGAGGCUGAGGUGGGAGGAUCGCUUGAGUCCAGGAGUUCUGGGCUGCAGUGCACUAUGCCGAUCGGGUGUCCGCACUAAGUUCGGCAUCAAUAUGGUGACCUCCCUGGGGCAGGGGACCACCAUGUUGCCUAAGGAGGGGUGAACCGGCCCAGAUCGGAAACGGAGCAGGUCAAAACUUCCGUGCUGAUCAGUAGUGGAAUCACGUCUGUGAAUAGCCACUGCACUCCAACCUGGGCAAUAUAGUGAGACCCUGUCUCU
Molecule: signal recognition particle RNA, 299 nt
Filed under: Cavia porcellus (domestic guinea pig)
Lineage: Eukaryota; Metazoa; Chordata; Mammalia; Rodentia; Caviidae
Description: Metazoan signal recognition particle RNA (ENSCPOG00000031993.1)
Rfam family: Metazoan signal recognition particle RNA
About the family: The signal recognition particle (SRP) is a universally conserved ribonucleoprotein.
Source: RNAcentral